This 466-nucleotide ribosomal RNA is filed under the name uncultured bacterium. Its description in RNAcentral is "partial 16S ribosomal RNA". It matches the Rfam family "Bacterial small subunit ribosomal RNA", at positions 28 to 523 of the family's 1533-position model. The record is from RNAcentral.
GAUGAACGCUGGCGGCGUGCCUAACACAUGCAAGUCGAGCGAACCUUUCGGGGUGAGCGGCGGACGGGUGAGUAACGCGUGGGUAACCUGCCCUAUACACACGGAUAACGUACCGAAAGGUACGCUAAUACGGGAUAAAGUUGUUGGAUGGAAUCUUCUAACAAUCAAAGCUCCGGCGGUAUAGGAUGGACCGGAGUCUGAUUAGCUAGUUGGUGAGGUAAUGGCUCACCAAGGCGACGAUCAGUAGCCGACCUGAGAGGGUGAUCGGCCACACUGGAACUGAGACACGGUCCAGACUCCUACGGGAGGCAGCAGUGGGGAAUAUUGCACAAUGGGCGAAAGUCUGAUGCAGCAACGCCGCGUGAGCGAUGAAGGUCUUCGGAUCGUAAAGCUCUGUCCUCAAGGAAGAUAAUGACGGUACUUGAGGAGGAAGCCCCGGCUAACUACGUGCCAGCAGCCGCGGUAA